AUACGGAGGGUGCAAGCGUUGCUCGGAAUCACUGGGCGUAAAGCGAACGCAGGCGGCCCGGCAAGUCGGGUGUGAAAGCCCGGGGCUCAACCCCGGAAUUGCACUCGAAACUGCCGGCCUUGAGUACGGGAGAGGGAAGCGGAAUUCCUAGUGUAGAGGUGAAAUUCGUAGAUAUUAGGAGGAACACCCGUGGCGAAAGCGGCUUCCUGGCCCGAUACUGACGCUCAUGUUCGAAAGCGUGGGGAGCAAACAGGAUUAGAUACCCUAGUAGUCC
This 274-nucleotide ribosomal RNA is filed under the name uncultured bacterium. Its description in RNAcentral is "partial 16S ribosomal RNA". It matches the Rfam family "Bacterial small subunit ribosomal RNA", at positions 523 to 796 of the family's 1533-position model. The record is from RNAcentral.